This 145-nucleotide small nucleolar RNA is filed under the name Myotis davidii. RNAcentral describes it as "Small nucleolar RNA SNORA48". It matches the Rfam family "Small nucleolar RNA SNORA48". From Rfam's summary of the family: The snoRNA ACA 48 has been identified to guide pseudouridylation of the residue U3797 in the 28S rRNA subunit. Its host gene EIF4A1 (eukaryotic translation initiation factor 4A1) is shared with U67 and snoRNA mgU6-77 The record is from Rfam by way of RNAcentral. Lineage: Eukaryota; Metazoa; Chordata; Mammalia; Chiroptera; Vespertilionidae.
UCCCCCUGGCAAUGGGCAAGGAGACACCUGAUUGGUGGCGCUGUUCUCAUAUCAGUCAGCGGCAAAGCAGGUGUACAGUCCUUAGUUCGUCCUAGCUUGAUGCCUGUGUUGGUGGCCAGAGCUGUUUCAUGCCUGAGGCACAUUA